CGUGUCGUGAGAUGUUGGGUUGAGUCCCGCAACGAGCGCAACCCCUACUAUUAGUUGCCACCAGGUUAUGCUGAGCACUCUAAUAGGACUGCCUACGCAAGUAGUGAGGAAGGUGGGGAUGACGUCAAGUCCGCAUGGCCCUUACGCCUAGGGCUACACACGUGCUACAAUGGGUGUUACAAUGGGUUGCCAAACCGCAAGGUGGAGCCAAUCCUUUAAAAGCAUCCUCAGUUCGGAUUGGAGUCUGAAACUCGACUCUAUGAAGUUGGAAUUGCUAGUAAUCGCGGAUCAGCACGCCGCGGUGAAUACGUUCCCGGGCCUU
This 322-nucleotide ribosomal RNA is filed under the name uncultured bacterium. RNAcentral's name for it is "bacterial SSU rRNA". It matches the Rfam family "Bacterial small subunit ribosomal RNA", at positions 1061 to 1382 of the family's 1533-position model. The record is from RNAcentral.